CCUUCAGUCUCCUCCUAUCCACCUCUAGCCUUGCGCGACCUGCCCACGCUCGCCGGCCAUGCCGCCGCCACUCUCCUUCCUCCACCCACCUCCCAACCCGCCUGUCCUCCACCCCUCCCCCUUCCACCAGCGUGCCCCCCACCGCCUAUCCCUCCGCGCCGAUCCCCCAUUCCGAGCGGCGACGGUGGCGGCGGCAGCGGCAGCGGCCGAGAACCCGUACUCGGCGGCGCCCACUGCGGCGGACGUCGAGAUGUUCCGCGGCGGGGACGGCGUGUGGACGGCGCGGAGCCCGACGGUGGUGGUGCUGUGGGACCUCGACAACAAGCCCCCGCGCGGGCCGCCCUUCGAGGCGGCCACCUCCCUCCGCGAGGCGGCGUCCCUCCUCGGCCGCGUCGACUCCGUCUCCGCCUUCGCCAACCGCCACGCCUUCACCCACCUCCCUGCCUGGGUCUCCGCCGACCGCCGCGAGCGCCGCGCCCUCGACCGCGCCGAGCGCACGGGCGCCGCCGCCCCGCCCGUCCCCUACUCCUGCGCCGUCUGCGGCCGCCGCUUCCCCACCCGCCCCGACCUCGCCCGCCACUUCCGCCAGCUCCACGAGCGCGAGCGCAACAAGAAGCUCGGCCGCCUCCGCUCCCUCAAGGGCAAGAAGCGCCAGAAGUUCCGCGAGCGCUACAUCUCCAACAACACCAAGUACCAGGACGCCGCGCGGGAGCUCCUCACCCCCAAGGUCGGCUACGGGCUCGAUUCCGAGCUCCGCCGCGCCGGCGUCCAUGUCCGCACUGUCCCGGACAAGCCGCAGGCUGCCGACCAGGCGCUCAAACGCCAGGUGAAGCACGCCAUCGCCUGCGGCGUCGACUGGGUCGUGCUCGUCUCCGAUGACUCCGACUUCACCGACACGGUGCGUAACGCACGCGCUGCCGCCCUGAGGAUGGUUGUGGUUGGAGAUGGGUGUCGCGCGCUCGGAAAGGUUGCUGAUAUUUGGCUGCCUUGGGACAGCGUGCAAAACGGGGAGGUUGAUGAGGAGAUGAUGCGGAGUGGGAAGGUUCCAGAGUUUAGAUAUGAAGAGGACGAUGAGCAAGAUGAUGACGAGUUCAUAGUGGAUUGGGAUACGAAUGAAUUGGAUGAUGUUGUUGAUGAUAUUGUUACAAGCAGGACUAAAGUGUUUGGUUCUACAACAAUGUCUGCAUUUGCCGAAGAGGACAUUGUUGAUGGUAUAUUGGGGCUUCGACAUAAGGAGGAUGACAUGCUUUGGAGUAGCGACGACGAGGAUGAGGAUGGUUAUCUGUGAGAUUUACACGGAUUGGCAGGUUCAUACCAAUAUUCUUCUGAAUGUUAGGACCAACAUAUGGCCAAGUAGUUAAGUCAUUAUCAUCGAUUCAGUCACACUGCUCAAUUUCACGAACUUGGCAAUAUGGCAAUUCUCAUACUUGCUAGGCGGCAGGUUUUGUGAGGCGCUACGAGGGAAGUCUCCAUACUGCAAUGAUCAACUGAUCAAGACAAUACCACUGGCUUGUGUUCUUGAAUUCUUGUCAUCUCUACGUGCACUACUUCAGGAUCCAAAGCUUGAUUGCUUUCCUCAGUGCCGCUCUGCACACAAGUAACCAGUAAUUUCAGUAUCUCUUGUUUCUUCACUUCAGAGCCACUUCUGUUUGGUCUUGGAUGAUCAUUCAUCCACGUUAAUAAAGAGAACAUCAUCACCCAACCUUCUUCAGGUGGUAUCCAUUUCUCUGGCAAGUAAGCUGUACCUGUAACUUAACCCCUCACUAAUCUGUUGACAUGAACAUCAUAGCUUCAGCUGUCCUUUUUUGUCAGUUCCAUAAUGUCACCUCCAUAAGCAACAUUGCAUGUUCACCACAUUUUAUAUCAUCACCAUUGUUCAGCCUCUAAGUUUCCCUAUGCAGUUGUUUCGAACCAAUAUCAUCUGCUAGGCCUUUUGUUAGUUUUCUGUAGUUGGUAUCCUUGAUUUCUUUAACUAUUUUACCAAAUCUCUGUAGGAUAAGCAGCAUCUUGAAUUAUUAAUACUAACCCAGAUUGGGGCACUGAACUCCUGUUUUAAUGUUCCUGUCCUGCCUAUAAAGAAUUUCCCAUAAGGCCACCUCUUGAGAAAAAUGAACAGGGGAAAAUGUAGUGGGAUGUUUGGGGCACUAUAAGUCAACAAGGGUUGGUAACUCAUUACUGGGGGAAACUUUGCACAAAGUUUCAUUACGAUUAAUGGUGGCUUCAAGAUUUCUUGUAGGCAUCAUAAGUCAUUCAGUCUUAUAGCUCUUCAUUAUCUGCAUGCGGUCUUUUUCUUUUCCUCUCAGGUGCUCGUUUUGUCUGGUCCUUCAGUUUAAUGUUUUUAUUUAGCAGCCGUUAUUAUUGGCAAGAACCUAUGGAAUCUAUGUUUGGGCUCAUAACGGUUAGAUUGUUUGGGCUCAUAACACAUUAAAAUUUGCUCCUGCUAUUCAGCUAGAGCCUUGAGCAUUAUACAAGGAUGAACUGUAGGGGCAGCCCAUUACCUUCUGGGUGGAAUUGUCACAACAUGGGCAUCCUUGCUGAUUUUUGGGCACACAUACUUAUCCUCGAUUGGAUAAGUGCUGUACUGGAAAGCAGGUUGGCAAUAUGUGUCCUGUUUGUGUUUUGGGGAAAAUGGCUAACUUGAGGUACAAAUUUUGCAGCAUACUGGAACCCUUGGAUCAGGGGCCUUUGGUUCAAGAAGUUACAAAUUCCAUUUGAGAAACAGAUCCCAAAAGACCACUGAAUUCAAAUCAGCAGAACAGCUCUCGCCUGACAUUCAAGAUGCACUUUGGAUAACAAACAUGCCCCUAGGGCAGUAGCUGGAAGCGAAAGAGAGAACCUCAUAGUUGGAUAAAGUCUUAACCAGGACAGAAGUGCACCCUUGAGGCAGUCCGAAGGAACCAAGAUGAGCGGACAGGCGCUCAGUUGCAAAGAUGAUACUUGAAGAGUGUCUGAAGGCUUGCAAUGGCAUGUCCUGCAAAGGGUGGGUGGCAAUGUGGCAUGGUGUGAUGAAACAUUGCUAAAAUGUGGAUAGACUGUCAUGAAUGUGUGCCUUGAAGAUUAACCUGAAACUGUUAAUGCCGUGGGUCAAAGACAAGCUGCCUGCCUGCCUGCUGUUUACAGACAUGCUCUAUGUUGUCUCUGUUCUUUCUGCAUUAUACACGUGCUGUAAGUUUCUGAGGAAAGAUGUACGUAUAUGCAGUUGCUUUUCUUUUA
RNA transcript from Triticum dicoccoides, 3213 nucleotides. RefSeq lists it as uncharacterized. The transcript has 3 exons. The record is from RefSeq and is a predicted model, not a curated record. Lineage: Eukaryota; Viridiplantae; Streptophyta; Magnoliopsida; Poales; Poaceae.